RNAcentral lists this ribosomal RNA (348 nucleotides) under Alcaligenes faecalis. RNAcentral describes it as "bacterial SSU rRNA". It matches the Rfam family "Bacterial small subunit ribosomal RNA", at positions 66 to 412 of the family's 1533-position model. The record is from RNAcentral. Lineage: Bacteria; Pseudomonadati; Pseudomonadota; Betaproteobacteria; Burkholderiales; Alcaligenaceae.
GCAGCACGAGAGAGCUUGCUCUCUUGGUGGCGAGUGGCGGACGGGUGAGUAAUAUAUCGGAACGUGCCCAGUAGCGGGGGAUAACUACUCGAAAGAGUGGCUAAUACCGCAUACGCCCUACGGGGGAAAGGGGGGGAUUCUUCGGAACCUCUCACUAUUGGAGCGGCCGAUAUCGGAUUAGCUAGUUGGUGGGGUAAAGGCUCACCAAGGCAACGAUCCGUAGCUGGUUUGAGAGGACGACCAGCCACACUGGGACUGAGACACGGCCCAACUCCUACGGGAGGCAGCAGUGGGGAAUUUUGGACAAUGGGGGAAACCCUGAUCCAGCCAUCCCGCGUGUAUGAUGAA